RNAcentral lists this ribosomal RNA (200 nucleotides) under uncultured bacterium. RNAcentral describes it as "partial 16S ribosomal RNA". It matches the Rfam family "Bacterial small subunit ribosomal RNA", at positions 8 to 225 of the family's 1533-position model. The record is from RNAcentral.
AGAGUUUGAUCCUGGCUCAGAAUCAACGCUGGCGGCGUGCCUAACACAUGCAAGUCGAACGAGAAAGUGGAGCAAUCCAUGAGUAAAGUGGCGACCGGGUGAGUAACACGUGACUAACCUACCUCCGAGUGGGGAAUAACUCCGGGAACGGCGAAUACCGCAUAACAUCGCAAGAUCAAAGCAGCAAUGCGACUUGGAGA